Molecule: transfer RNA, 64 nt
Filed under: Bittacus strigosus
Lineage: Eukaryota; Metazoa; Arthropoda; Insecta; Mecoptera; Bittacidae
Description: tRNA-Arg
Source: RNAcentral
GAAUUUGAAGCGAUAAAUUGCAAUUAGUUUCGACCUAAUUUUAGAUGAAAUUCAUCCAUAUUCU